GGAUUUUAUCCUGAUUGAAGAAGAAGAUCAAAAGUUUUCAGUCAUAGUUUCACCCCAAAAGGCUCUAUGAAAGAAACCUGAUACCAAAGAGGGUUUUGCGCAUACAAGAUGAAAAUGGAGGAUUUUAGGUGGAGGACUCUAUCUAUGACAACAUUGAUUCUGAUCGAAGGGGAUAACAAGGACUUGCCUAAUUCUAUGAAGUCAGAUUCAAUAAAAAAAAUCAAAAACAAAAACAAAAAAGAAGAAAAAUAAAAAUCAAAGUCAAACGCAAAAAAAGAAAAAUCAAUCAAAAUAAAAAUCAAAAUAAAAAAAAGAGAAAAAGAAAAUGAGA
This 331-nucleotide long non-coding RNA is filed under the name Gossypium raimondii (Peruvian cotton). Its description in RNAcentral is "long non-coding RNA (GRAI_LNC011170)". Lineage: Eukaryota; Viridiplantae; Streptophyta; Magnoliopsida; Malvales; Malvaceae. The record is from RNAcentral.